UGCAUAUCCAAAAAGCGGAGGAAAAGAAACUAACAAGGAUUCCCCUAGUAACUGCGAGUGAAGCGGGAAAAGCUCAAAUUUAAAAUCUGGUGGUCUUUGGCCAUCCGAGUUGUAAUCUAGAGAAGUGUUAUCCGCGCUGGACCGUGUACAAGUCCCCUGGAAUGGGGCGUCAUAGAGGGUGAGAAUCCCGUCUUUGACACGGACUACCAGGGCUUUGUGAUGCACUCUCAAAGAGUCGAGUUGUUUGGGAAUGCAGCUCAAAAUGGGUGGUAAAUUCCAUCUAAAGCUAAAUAUUGGCGAGAGACCGAUAGCGAACAAGUACCGUGAGGGAAAGAUGAAAAGAACUUUGGAAAGAGAGUUAAACAGUACGUGAAAUUGUUGAAAGGGAAACGCUUGAAGUCAGUCGCGUCUGCCAGGGAUCAACCUUACUUUUGUGAGGCGUACUUCCUGGUUGAUGGGUCAGCAUCAGUUUUGGUCGCUGGAUAAAGGUCAGAGAAAUGUGGCACCUUCGGGUGUGUUAUAGUCUUUGAUCAGAUACAGUGGCUGGGACUGAGGAACUCAGCGCCGCAAGGCUGUCUUAGGAUGCUGGCAAAAUGGCUUUAAUCGACCCGUCUUGAAACACGGACAAAAGGAGUCA
This 637-nucleotide ribosomal RNA is filed under the name Pleurotus ostreatus (oyster mushroom). RNAcentral describes it as "LSU rRNA". It matches the Rfam family "Eukaryotic large subunit ribosomal RNA", at positions 37 to 676 of the family's 3401-position model. The record is from RNAcentral. Lineage: Eukaryota; Fungi; Basidiomycota; Agaricomycetes; Agaricales; Pleurotaceae. RNAcentral also lists the same sequence under 4 other names.